UUUUGACCUCGAAUCAGGUGGGACUACCCGCUGAACUUAAGCAUAUCAAUAAGCGGAGGAAAAGAAACUAACAAGGAUUCCCCUAGUAACGGCGAGUGAAGUGGGAUGAGCUCAAAUUUAAAAUCUGGUAGUCUUUGGCUGCCCGAGUUGUAAUCUAGAGAAGUGUUUUCUGUGCUGGACUGUGUUCAAGUUUCCUGGAUAUGGAACAUCAUAGAGGGUGAGAAUCC
This 227-nucleotide ribosomal RNA is filed under the name Hydnum alboluteum. RNAcentral's name for it is "partial 28S ribosomal RNA". It matches the Rfam family "Eukaryotic large subunit ribosomal RNA", at positions 1 to 221 of the family's 3401-position model. Lineage: Eukaryota; Fungi; Basidiomycota; Agaricomycetes; Cantharellales; Hydnaceae. The record is from RNAcentral.